UCGCGGCUUAUCACCGGCAGUCUCCUUAGAGUGCCCAACUAAAUGUAGCAACUAAUGACAAGGGUUGCGCUCGUUGCGGGACUUAACCCAACAUCUCACGACACGAGCUGACGACAGCCAUGCAGCACCUGUGUUCCGAUUCCCUUUCGGGCACACCCACAUCUCUGCGGGCUCUCGGACAUGUCAAGGGUAGGUAAGGUUUUUCGCGUUGCAUCGAAUUAAUCCACAUAAUCCACCGCUUGUGCGGGUCCCCGUCAAUUCCUUUGAGUUUUAACCUUGCGGCCGUACUCCCCAGGCGGGGCACUUAAUGCGUUAGCGCCGGCCCUCGGGGGGUCGCUCCCCCAAGCGCCUAGUGCCCAUCGUUUAUGGCCAAGACUAC
Molecule: unclassified non-coding RNA, 379 nt
Filed under: uncultured Gammaproteobacteria bacterium
Lineage: Bacteria; Pseudomonadati; Pseudomonadota; Gammaproteobacteria
Description: contains 16S-23S intergenic spacer region
Source: RNAcentral